UGAUCGGCCACAUUGGGACUGAGACACGGCCCAAAUUCCUACGGGAGGCAGCAGUAGGGAAUCUUCCCACAAUGGACGCAAGUCUGAUGGAGCAACGCCGCGUGAGUGAAGAAGGCUUUCGGGUCGUAAAACUCUGUUGUUGGAGAAGAAUGGUCGGCAGAGUAACUGUUGCCGGCGUGACGGUAUCCAACCAGAAAGCCACGGCUAACUACGUGCCAGCAGCCGCGGUAAUACGUAGGUGGCAAGCGUUAUCCGGAUUUAUUGGGCGUAAAGCGAGCGCAGGCGGUUUUUUAAGUCUGAUGUGAAAGCCCUCGGCUUAACCGAGGAAGCGCAUCGGAAACUGGGAAACUUGAGUGCAGAAGAGGACAGUGGAACUCCAUGUGUAGCGGUGAAAUGCGUAGAUAUAUGGAAGAACACCAGUGGCGAAGGCGGCUGUCUGGUCUGUAACUGACGCUGAGGCUCGAAAGCAUGGGUAGCGAACAGGAUUAGAUACCCUGGUAGUCCAUGCCGUAAACGAUGAAUGCUAGGUGUUGGGAGGGUUUCCGCCCUUCAGUGCCGCAGCUAACGCAUUAAGCAUUCCGCCUGGGGGAGUACGACCGCAAGGUUGAAACUCAAAGGAAUUGACGGGGGCCCGCACAAGCGGUGGAGCCAUGUGGUUUAAUUCGAAGCAACGCGAAGAACCUUACCAGGUCUUGACAUCUUUUGAUCACCUGAAGAGAUCAGGUUUCCCCUUCGGGGGCAAAAUGACAGGUGGUUGCAUGGUUGUCGUCAGCUCGUGUCGUGAAGAUGUUGGGUUAAGUCCCGCAACGAGCGCAACCCUUAUGACUAGUUGCCAGCAUUUAGUUGGGCACUCUAGUAAGACUGCCGGUGACAAACCG
Molecule: ribosomal RNA, 878 nt
Filed under: Lacticaseibacillus casei
Lineage: Bacteria; Bacillati; Bacillota; Bacilli; Lactobacillales; Lactobacillaceae
Description: bacterial SSU rRNA
Rfam family: Bacterial small subunit ribosomal RNA
Source: RNAcentral